UGGCUCAGAUUGAACGCUGGCGGCAGGCCUAACACAUGCAAGUCGAGCGGUAACAGAGAGUAGCUUGCUACUCUGCUGACGAGCGGCGGACGGGUGAGUAAUGCUUGGGAAUAUGCCUUAUGGUGGGGGACAACAGUUGGAAACGACUGCUAAUACCGCAUGAUGUCUACGGACCAAAGUGGGGGACCUUCGGGCCUCACGCCAUAAGAUUAGCCCAAGUGGGAUUAGCUAGUUGGUGAGGUAAUGGCUCACCAAGGCGACGAUCCCUAGCUGGUUUGAGAGGAUGAUCAGCCACACUGGGACUGAGACACGGCCCAGACUCCUACGGGAGGCAGCAGUGGGGAAUAUUGCACAAUGGGCGCAAGCCUGAUGCAGCCAUGCCGCGUGUGUGAAGAAGGCCUUCGGGUUGUAAAGCACUUUCAGUAAGGAGGAAAGGUUAAGUGUUAAUAGCACUUAGCUGUGACGUUACUUACAGAAGAAGCACCGGCUAACUCCGUGCCAGCAGCCGCGGUAAUACG
This 518-nucleotide ribosomal RNA is filed under the name Pseudoalteromonas sp. PA20(2010). RNAcentral's name for it is "bacterial SSU rRNA". It matches the Rfam family "Bacterial small subunit ribosomal RNA", at positions 20 to 527 of the family's 1533-position model. The record is from RNAcentral. Lineage: Bacteria; Pseudomonadati; Pseudomonadota; Gammaproteobacteria; Alteromonadales; Pseudoalteromonadaceae.